GUGUGUGUUCAUUUCGCAACCCGUUUGUUGCGUGUGCAUUGUUGACGAACUGCGCAUUUGCCUAUCGCCUAGUGAAAGGGGCGUUUACGAGAGCACUGCAGGGUUUCGCGGGUGACACUCUUGUUGUUUUACGUAAAAGGCGUUAUUUUCCAAUGCUGUCGUUCGUUUCUGCGUUGUGGUGGCAUGCGCGACACGGUGUGGAUAUGCCGGGGUUCUUGCCCGGAGUGCGCUGCGGCCUCUCGUCUGGGCUUGUUCGGAACCGAAUGAUAUGGUCGGCUGCCACAGCGGCCAAGGGUGGGAAACCCAAAGAGGCUAGUCGCGAGCAGGCGAAGCGCCCCGAACGCAAGGACGACGACAGGGGCUUUCAAAAGGGUGGCGGCGGUGGUGGCGGUGGUGGUAACGGCAGCGGCAAACCUACCAAGCGCGACAAGUAAUGUGGAAAUAGCGGCGUUUAGCGGUGGCAAGACGGCGUGCAAGCGUUCGGAGGAGCGUCAUGGAAGCCUGUAUGCGGGUGGCGUGCAGCUAGGUUUCCGGUCAGAGAGCGUUACGUAAACGAGAACUGGUCUUCGUGACAUCGUUUGCUGCAUCAUUCGCCAUUUGGACGUCCAGAACAGCGCUUUCGAGCUCGCAUAUGCCGUGUUUUUUCUCUCUCUCAGUCGCGUUGGUAUGUCAGCAAUGCGAAACGAUUGCGAGAGCGGAACCGGAAAACGCGUAUCCUCGCAUACACGGCUGGACGUUGUGCAGCCACGAGGCGGCAAGUCGCCAGGCACCUCAGUUCCCUGCAUCGCUGGCGCGAUACUCCUUACCUAAAGGUAGCCGCGCUCGGGUUGUCCGCCGCAUUUUCCUCAUACAGAUUCGGUCUGGCAUUGUCGGCUUUCUGGGAUCCGCUCUAGCGCCAGAACCUCCUCUUCGUGCUCUUGGAGCCAAUGCUCUGCAUCCAUUGCAGCCAUACAACCGCUACCCGCUGCAGUAACCGCUUGGCGGUACCGUUUGUCCUGCACAUCGCCCGCUGCAAAAACGCCGUCCACGCUCGUUUGUGUCGUUCCUGGUUUCGUAAUGAUGUAGCCUUGAUCGUCAAGAAGCAACUGCCCUUUCAGGAAUGCAGUCGCCGGCACAUGGCCAAUGGCAAAAAAUAGACCACCAACCUCGAGUUCGUGCUUUUGAUCAUCCUUCGUGGACUGAAGCGUUAUUCGACGCAACAGGGUGUCUCCAUGCGCAGCCACAACGAUCGAAUUCCACAGGAACUCAAUUUUCUGGUUCUCAAAUGCUCGCUUCUGCAUGAUCUUCGACGCACGGAGCGUAUCGCGGCGAUGGAUAACGUACACUCGACUCGCAUAGCGCGUGAGAAAGAGCGCCUCUUCCAAUGCAGUAUCACCACCACCGACUACAGCGAUCGGCUUACCUCGAAAGAUAGGUGCGGCGCCGUCACAAACCGCACAAGCAGAGAUACCGCGCUGCCAGAAGCCACCCUCACCACUGCCAGCACCAGGAAAGUCCAUGCGUUUCGCCACCGCACCAGUGGCGAUGAUCACGCUUGCAGCUAGGACCACGUGCUGACUGCUGUAUAUUCGGAAGGGGCGGCUCUGGAGAUCCACGCUUUCAACAGUUUCCGUCAGGAUCUUCGUCCCAUGCACCUGAGACUGUUUUCGAAACCGAUCCAUCAGCUCGAAGCCGCUGAUUCCCUCUGGGAAGCCCGGAUAGUUUUCGACGUCAGUCGUUGUCGUAAGUUGCCCUCCGGCUGCGAUCCCGUUUGCAAGCAUGCCUUCGAACAUGAUUGGUCUCAGUUGCGCGCGAGCUGCAUAAAUUGCAGCAGUGUGCCCCGCGGGACCCGAACCGAUGACGCACAACGGCGUUACCAGCGGUACUGCGGAGCCGUUUGCAAGAGACCCGUUCCGCGCGCCUUGCUCGUCGCUCAUGUGUGCGUUUGGUCGCCUGAAAACACGAAUCCCCAAGUAACUGUUAUUUCCAGGAUGUAUGCUUGUCCAAGUCAAGCUCCCAAAGCGCCUGAGCAGCAACGUUUCGGAAUAGUGUACGGUUUCACGCACUCCGCUCUGGAUACACCAGUAAAGAAGCUGGUAACGCGGGAAUCCCAUGGGGUGAUCAGUAAGCGCGCGACGGCGGACGGAGGCGCGCUCGAUCGGCACCGCCACGUUCACGAACGAGUGGCUUGCAGCAGCGCCUCCACUACGGGGAGGUCGCGGAGCUUGUCGGCCCUUGAGCCCAGUCUUUACCAAGGACAGGUACCGAUCGUUCACAGCUUAGAUCCAGUGGGAUGUUGCUUGGUGAUGAACGUAGGGUUCUCUGGGAUGGAAACGACAGCAGAUAACCUCGCCGCAGCUGGGAGCGGGGUGCGCUGCGCUUCAGCUCUUCCACAGCUCCCGCUCAUGAGCGUUUAUUGCGUGGUGCAUUCGGUUCUAUCGUGAAGCGAUCGUGACAGCUCAGUAGCGCGAUCCUGUGCAUGCUUUGUGUGAGUCUAAGUUUCCACGUCCUGAGCGUGCUCAGCGCGUUGAUAUCGACGUUUUGGCAGAUGUCGGCAUUCGAUAACGUCGGAAUCUCCUCGCACGCCCAAUUGUAGCGUGUUCUGCUGCCUGCACUGCAUAUAUCGGCAUUGGAUGGACGUGGUGCGUUCAUGAUGCGGGACAUUCCAUCUACCUAGUGACGGUGGUUGCGCUCAGGCAGCGCGGGUGUGUUGCUCCGACAGCUUUCAGAAACGGCACUAGUGUAACUCGGGUUGUAAAGCAUGCCGAGGAACCACAGGGCUCUGUAACGCCGAA
This 2774-nucleotide unclassified non-coding RNA is filed under the name Cyanidioschyzon merolae strain 10D. Its description in RNAcentral is "hypothetical transcript". The record is from RNAcentral. Lineage: Eukaryota; Rhodophyta; Bangiophyceae; Cyanidiales; Cyanidiaceae.